Molecule: ribosomal RNA, 434 nt
Filed under: uncultured Clostridium sp.
Lineage: Bacteria; Bacillati; Bacillota; Clostridia; Eubacteriales; Clostridiaceae
Description: partial 16S ribosomal RNA
Rfam family: Bacterial small subunit ribosomal RNA
Source: RNAcentral
ACGGGAGGCAGCAGUGGGGGAUAUUGCACAAUGGGGGAAACCCUGAUGCAGCGACGCCGCGUGAGUGAUGAAGUAUUUCGGUAUGUAAAGCUCUAUCAGCAGGGAAGAUAAUGACGGUACCUGACUAAGAAGCCCCGGCUAACUACGUGCCAGCAGCCGCGGUAAUACGUAGGGGGCAAGCGUUAUCCGGAUUUACUGGGUGUAAAGGGAGCGUAGACGGCAUGGCAAGUCUGAUGUGAAAACCCGGGGCUCAACCCCGGGACUGCAUUGGAAACUGUCAAGCUAGAGUGCAGGAGGGGUAAGUGGAAUUCCUAGUGUAGCGGUGAAAUGCGUAGAUAUUAGGAGGAACACCAGUGGCGAAGGCGGCUUACUGGACUGUAACUGACGUUGAGGCUCGAAAGCGUGGGGAGCAUACAGGAUUAGAUACCCUGGUA